Molecule: ribosomal RNA, 253 nt
Filed under: uncultured bacterium
Lineage: Bacteria
Description: partial 16S ribosomal RNA
Rfam family: Bacterial small subunit ribosomal RNA
Source: RNAcentral
UACGUAGGUGGCAAGCGUUGUCCGGAUUUAUUGGGCGUAAAGGGUGCGUAGGUGGCGCCGUAAGUCGGGUGUGAAAUUUCGGAGCUUAACUCCGAAACUGCAUUCGAUACUGCGGUGCUUGAGGACUGGAGAGGAGACUGGAAUUCAUGGUGUAGCAGUGAAAUGCGUAGAGAUCAUGAGGAAGACCAGUGGCGAAGGCGGGUCUCUGGACAGUUCCUGACGCUGAGGCACGAAGGCCAGGGGAGCAAACGGG